CUUUGAUAUCUAACAUAUUUUUUUCUUAUCCAUCUCUCUUACUCCAUUUAUUUCCUUUAAAUCGUUGAUUGGUUUGCACAAUUGAAGAAUCUAAAAGACGAACUUGCUUUUAGGGUUUUAUUUCCUCAAUUUUUAGACGGUUUGUUUUAAUCUUUAUAUACUUAAUAAUAUUUUUUCGUAUAAUAAUGUGCAGGUGAAUGUUUAUCAGAUCAUAAAGAGGAAAUUCUGAUUUUCAAGGUUGGUUGCAAAUCCGUUCAAUACAUGGUUUUCGACGGGAUCCCAUAGCAAUUAAUAUGCCAGUAACGAACUCCUAAUUUGGAGUAUCUAUUGUAGACGGCCUUUUUAUAACUUUAGAUGAGUAUGUUCAGUCUUAUGAUAUGAAAGGACAUGGUUAGCUUUUCAGUGUAUUUUCCAGUAUUUAGAUUUGUUUAUAGUUGCUUAGCUUUUGACUAUUUGUUGCUUCUUUUGUUGCUAAAUUGUUUUAGGGGAAGAUGUUGAUCACUUUUGAGACAUUUAGCCUGGAGAGUCUUCGUCAUACAUUUAAAGAUUGUAUAAUGGGUCAACAUUGAUAUGGGUGAAAGUGUAAUGUAGUAGGAUGAUCGUGAAAGAGGUGACGACAUUUCUUAAGAGUUUGAAAUAUCAGUUAUCUGCCAACGUGCUUCAUCUUCUGUAAAUUAUUUGGUGGUGUCAAGCAAGCACUUGAUGUCACUCCACCCAGCCAGCUCUUAGAAAAGCUCCAAGAUAGCAUCUCUAAAUAAAAACUCCAGCAAAGCCACAUGAACCAAUGAACCAGGAUUGUUACAAAGAAUCGAAAACUGAGGUUGGCGACGCUGAGGUACCUUUCUAGAGUCUGAAGUAGACAUUGAAAGUGAUGAGAAAAUAUAAGCGAAUGGAACCAAAUUGGCUGGUACAUGUUUUUCGUGAUUAGGACUUAUGAGCAUGCUACAUGCCCUGGAUGAGGUUUUUUUUAACUUUAUUUGCCUGUUACCAUAAGAGUUUAUUGCUGUUUUUUUUUUUUUUUUUUUUGCUUUUGAUUAUUUUUGGAGAAUGGAUGAUCUUUUGGUUUAGCUUAGUUGCAAUCAGCUUUUGCAAAGAGACUCGCCUGUUCUCCCAGCCCAAACUUACACCACUUAACCUUGAAAAUACCCUGGAAGAAAUCCCCUCAAGCUCAACCUGAGGCAAAAAACAUGCAUUUUUCAACUUGAAUUCGACAAUAGGGAACCAAGGUGUAAAAGCUCUAUUGUAGGCUGAUAAGGUUCGGCCUUAUUUCGAGAGAAUUAAGGCUAGGUAUAUAGUAUAUAAGGUAAGUUGUAUAAGACUGCUAGAAAUGAAAUAGGUACAACUCUUUUAUUAGUAAAUUCAUAACAACUUCAUUAUAUGUGUUAUCGAAACUUCUUCAAUUAUUUUAGGUUACUUUUCUCGGUA
Long non-coding RNA from Erigeron canadensis, 1425 nucleotides. RefSeq lists it as uncharacterized. The transcript is spliced from 7 exons. NCBI's taxonomy places the organism in Eukaryota, Viridiplantae, Streptophyta, Magnoliopsida, Asterales, Asteraceae. The record is from RefSeq and is a predicted model, not a curated record.